AUUGAACGCUGGCGGCAUGCCUUACACAUGCAAGUCGAACGGCAGCGGGGGAGAAGCUUGCUUUUCCUGCCGGCGAGUGGCGAACGGGUGAGUAAUACAUCGGAACGUGCCCUGUUGUGGGGGAUAACUAGUUGAAAGAUUAGCUAAUACCGCAUACGACCUGAGGGUGAAAGUGGGGGACCGCAAGGCCUGCUGCUAUAGGAGCGGCCGAUGUCUGAUUAGCUAGUUGGGGGGGUAAAGGCCUACCAAGGCGACGAUCAGUAGCUGGUCUGAGAGGACGAUCAGCCACACUGGGACUGAGACACGGCCCAGACUCCUACGGGAGGCAGCAGUGGGGAAUUUUGGACAAUGGGCGCAAGCCUGAUCCAGCAAUGCCGCGUGUAUGAAGAAGGCCUUCGGGUUGUAAAGCACUGUUGUCCGGAAAGAAAUGGCUCUGGUUAAUACCUAGGGUCGAUGACGGUACCGGAAGAAUAAGGACCGGCUAACUACGUGCCAGCCGCCGCAGUAA
This 508-nucleotide ribosomal RNA is filed under the name uncultured bacterium. RNAcentral's name for it is "partial 16S ribosomal RNA". It matches the Rfam family "Bacterial small subunit ribosomal RNA", at positions 30 to 523 of the family's 1533-position model. The record is from RNAcentral.